GCCGCGGUAAAACCAGCACCUCAAGUGGUCAGGAUGAUUAUUGGGCCUAAAGCAUCCGUAGCCGGCUCUGUAAGUUUUCGGUUAAAUCUAUGCGCUCAACGUAUGGGCUGCCGAAAAUACUGUAGAGAUAGGGAGUGGGAGAGGUAGACGGUACUCGGUAGGAAGGGGUAAAAUCCUUUGAUCUAUCGAUGACCACCUGUGGCGAAGGCGGUCUACCAGAACACGUUCGACGGUGAGGGAUGAAAGCUGGGGGAGCAAACCGGAUUAGAUACCCGGGUAGUCCCAGCUGUAAACGAUGCAGACUCGAUGAUGCAUUGGCAUAUAGCCAGUGCAGUGUCGCAGGGAAGCCGUUAAGUCUGCCGCCUGGGAAGUACGUACGCAAGUAUGAAACUUAAAGGAAUUGGCGGGGGAGCACGGUCAUAGCUGGUUUCCUGA
RNAcentral lists this ribosomal RNA (435 nucleotides) under crenarchaeote SCGC AAA288-A10. Its description in RNAcentral is "SSU rRNA". It matches the Rfam family "Archaeal small subunit ribosomal RNA", at positions 464 to 899 of the family's 1478-position model. The record is from RNAcentral. Lineage: Archaea; Thermoproteati; Thermoproteota.